Molecule: ribosomal RNA, 402 nt
Filed under: uncultured bacterium
Lineage: Bacteria
Description: bacterial SSU rRNA
Rfam family: Bacterial small subunit ribosomal RNA
Source: RNAcentral
UGGGGAAUAUUGGACAAUGGGCGCAAGCCUGAUCCAGCCAUGCCGCGUGAGUGAUGAAGGCCCUAGGGUUGUAAAGCUCUUUCAGUGGGGACGAUAAUGACGGUACCCACAGAAGAAGCCCCGGCUAACUUCGUGCCAGCAGCCGCGGUAAUACGAAGGGGGCUAGCGUUGUUCGGAAUUACUGGGCGUAAAGCGCACGUAGGCGGACAUUUAAGUCAGGGGUGAAAUCCCGGGGCUCAACCCCGGAACGGCCUCUGAUACUGGGUGUCUUGAGUCCGGAAGAGGUGAGUGGAAUUGCGAGUGUAGAGGUGAAAUUCGUAGAUAUUCGCAGGAACACCAGUGGCGAAGGCGGCUCACUGGUCCGGUACUGACGCUGAGGUGCGAAAGCGUGGGGAGCAAACA